RNAcentral lists this ribosomal RNA (254 nucleotides) under uncultured bacterium. RNAcentral's name for it is "partial 16S ribosomal RNA". It matches the Rfam family "Bacterial small subunit ribosomal RNA", at positions 524 to 776 of the family's 1533-position model. The record is from RNAcentral.
UACGGGGGGAGCAAGCGUUGUUCGGAUUUACUGGGCGUAAAGGGCGCGUAGGCGGCCACCGCAAGUCGACUGUGAAAUCUCCGGGCUUAACUCGGAAAGGUCAGCCGAUACUGCGGGGCUAGAGUGCAGAAGGGGCAACUGGAAUUCUCGGUGUAGCGGUGAAAUGCGUAGAUAUCGGGAGGAACACCAGUGGCGAAGGCGGCUCACUGGCCCGGUACUGACGCUGAUGAGCGAAAGCGUGGGGAGCAAACAGG